Molecule: ribosomal RNA, 497 nt
Filed under: uncultured bacterium
Lineage: Bacteria
Description: partial 16S ribosomal RNA
Rfam family: Bacterial small subunit ribosomal RNA
Source: RNAcentral
GACGAACGCUGGCGGCGUGCCUAAUACAUGCAAGUUGAGCGCUGAAGGUUGGUACUUGUACCAACUGGAUGAGCAGCGAACGGGUGAGUAACGCGUGGGGAAUCUGCCUUUGAGCGGGGGACAACAUUUGGAAACGAAUGCUAAUACCGCAUAAAAACUUUAAACACACGUUUUAAGUUUGAAAGAUGCAAUUGCAUCACUCAAAGAAGAUCCCGCGUUGUAUUAGCUAGUUGGUGAGGUAAAGGAUCACCCAGGCGAUGAUACAUAGCCGACCUGAGAGGGGGAUCGGCCAAAUUGGGACUGAGACACGGCCCAAACUCCUAAGGGAGGCAGCAGUAGGGAAUCUUCGGCAAUGGACGAAAGUCUGAACGAGCAAAGCCGCGUGAGUGAAGAAGGGUUUCGGAUCGUAAAAAUCUGUUGGUAGAGAAGAAAGUUGGGGAGAGUGGAAAGCGCAUCAAGUGACGGUAACUACCCAGAAAGGGACGGCUAACUACGUG